GCCCUUAGAGUUUGAUCCUGGCUCAGGACGAACGCUGGCGGCGUGCCUAAUACAUGCAAGUCGAGCGAGCGGAACUAACAGAUUUACUUCGGUAAUGACGUUAGGAAAGCGAGCGGCGGAUGGGUGAGUAACACGUGGGGAACCUGCCCCAUAGUCUGGGAUACCACUUGGAAACAGGUGCUAAUACCGGAUAAGAAAGCAGAUCGCAUGAUCAGCUUUUAAAAGGCGGCGUAAGCUGUCGCCAUGGGAUGGCCCCGCGGUGCAUUAGCUAGUUGGUAAGGUAAAGGCUUACCAAGGCGAUGAUGCAUAGCCGAGUUGAGAGACUGAUCGGCCACAUUGGGACUGAGACACGGCCCAAACUCCUACGGGAGGCAGCAGUAGGGAAUCUUCCACAAUGGACGCAAGUCUGAUGGAGCAACGCCGCGUGAGUGAAGAAGGUUUUCGGAUCGUAAAGCUCUGUUGUUGGUGAAGAAGGAUAGAGGUAGUAACUGGCCUUUAUUUGACGGUAAUCAAUCAGAAAGUCACGGCUAACUACGUGCCAGCAGCCGCGGUAAUACGUAGGUGGUAAGCGUUGUCCGGAUUUAUUGGGCGUAAAGCGAGCGCAGGCGGAAGAAUAAGUCUGAUGUGAAAGCCCUCGGCUUAACCGAGGAACUGCAUCGGAAACUGUUUUUCUUGAGUGCAGAAGAGGAGAGUGGAACUCCAUGUGUAGCGGUGGAAUGCGUAGAUAUAUGGAAGAACACCAGUGGCGAAGGCGGCUCUCUGAUCUGCAACUGACGCUGAGGCUCGAAAGCAUGGGUAGCGAACAGGAUUAGAUACCCUGGUAGUCCAUGCCGUAAACGAUGAGUGCUAAGUGUUGGGAGGUUUCCGCCUCUCAGUGCUGCAGCUAACGCAUUAAGCACUCCGCCUGGGGAGUACGACCGCAAGGUUGAAACUCAAAGGAAUUGACGGGGGCCCGCACAAGCGGUGGAGCAUGUGGUUUAAUUCGAAGCAACGCGAAGAACCUUACCAGGUCUUGACAUCUAGUGCCAUUUGUAGAGAUACAAAGUUCCCUUCGGGGACGCUAAGACAGGUGGUGCAUGGCUGUCGUCAGCUCGUGUCGUGAGAUGUUGGGUUAAGUCCCGCAACGAGCGCAACCCUUGUUGUUAGUUGCCAGCAUUAAGUUGGGCACUCUAAUGAGACUGCCGGUGACAAACCGGAGGAAGGUGGGGAUGACGUCAAGUCAUCAUGCCCCUUAUGACCUGGGCUACACACGUGCUGCAAUGGGCAGUACAACGAGAAGCGAGCCUGCGAAGGCAAGCGAAUCUCUGAAAGCUGUUCUCAGUUCGGACUGCAGUCUGCAACUCGACUGCACGAAGCUGGAAUCGCUAGUAAUCGCGGAUCAGCACGCCGCGGUGAAUACGUUCCCGGGCCUUGUACACACCGCCCGUCACACCAUGGGAGUCUGCAAUGCCCAAAGCCGGUGGCCUAACCUUCGGGAAGGAGCCGUCUAAGGCAGGGCAGAUGACUGGGGUGAAGUCGUAACAAGGUAGCCGUAAAG
This 1537-nucleotide ribosomal RNA is filed under the name uncultured bacterium. RNAcentral describes it as "bacterial SSU rRNA". It matches the Rfam family "Bacterial small subunit ribosomal RNA". The record is from RNAcentral.